GAGUCGGUUGGACUUGGUAGUCCAGGCUGUCUGUAACACAGUUGCCUCGCGGCGCGGAAGGUUCGAUUCCUUCCCGGCUCAC
This 82-nucleotide transfer RNA is filed under the name Aureliella helgolandensis. Its description in RNAcentral is "Planctomycetes bacterium Q31a tRNA-Tyr". It matches the Rfam family "tRNA". From Rfam's summary of the family: Transfer RNA (tRNA) molecules are approximately 80 nucleotides in length. Their secondary structure includes four short double-helical elements and three loops (D, anti-codon, and T loops). The record is from RNAcentral. Lineage: Bacteria; Pseudomonadati; Planctomycetota; Planctomycetia; Pirellulales; Pirellulaceae.